Molecule: ribosomal RNA, 369 nt
Filed under: Triticum aestivum (bread wheat)
Lineage: Eukaryota; Viridiplantae; Streptophyta; Magnoliopsida; Poales; Poaceae
Description: partial small subunit ribosomal RNA
Source: RNAcentral
AUGCUGGUCAAUGCUUUAACCCCACAACCCCUCCUAUUUUGUUCUUAUUGCAAAUUCAGCCGGCUUUCAUGUGUGUGUGUGUGGGGCGGGGGGUGCAAAAAGGAAAAAAUCACUCUUCAUAUUUACCUCUCCUUUUUCUCCACUUCUUUUGUUGAUCUUGGUGUUGGUUUCCUCAGUGGUGUGGGUUCCCCUCCUUUUCUCUCUCUACACAUUUACCUUUUAUCUAUUGGCGUCUCUCUUGGCUGGGUGUUGGAUACUGGGAUGAGAGAGAGAGAGAGAGAGAGAGAGAGAGAGAUUGUAUACAAGUAUCUAGCUUUGAAACAAUGGCAAAUCUUGAGUCUUAACUAUAAGCCGGAGGCCAUAUCCUAG